RNAcentral lists this ribosomal RNA (707 nucleotides) under Halobacillus trueperi. Its description in RNAcentral is "bacterial SSU rRNA". It matches the Rfam family "Bacterial small subunit ribosomal RNA", at positions 59 to 733 of the family's 1533-position model. Lineage: Bacteria; Bacillati; Bacillota; Bacilli; Caryophanales; Bacillaceae. The record is from RNAcentral.
CAGUCGAGCGCGGGAAGCGAGUGGAUCCCUUCGGGGUGAAGCUCGUGGAACGAGCGGCGGACGGGUGAGUAACACGUGGGCAACCUGCCUGUAAGAUCGGAAUAACCCCGGGAAACCGGGGCUAAUGCCGGGUAAUACUUUCUUUCGCAUGAAGGAAAGUUGAAAGAUGGCUUCUUGCUAUCACUUACAGAUGGGCCCGCGGCGCAUUAGCUAGUUGGUGAGGUAACGGCUCACCAAGGCGACGAUGCGUAGCCGACCUGAGAGGGUGAUCGGCCACACUGGGACUGAGACACGGCCCAGACUCCUACGGGAGGCAGCAGUAGGGAAUCUUCCGCAAUGGACGAAAGUCUGACGGAGCAACGCCGCGUGAACGAUGAAGGUCUUCGGAUCGUAAAGUUCUGUUGUUAGGGAAGAACAAGUACCGUGCGAAUAGAGCGGUACCUUGACGGUACCUAACGAGGAAGCCCCGGCUAACUACGUGCCAGCAGCCGCGGUAAUACGUAGGGGGCAAGCGUUGUCCGGAAUUAUUGGGCGUAAAGCGCGCGCAGGCGGUUCCUUAAGUCUGAUGUGAAAGCCCACGGCUCAACCGUGGAGGGUCAUUGGAAACUGGGGAACUUGAGGACAGAAGAGGAGAGUGGAAUUCCACGUGUAGCGGUGAAAUGCGUAGAUAUGUGGAGGAACACCAGUGGCGAAGGCGACUCUCUGGU